GAUGAACGCUGGCGGCGUGCCUAAUACAUGCAAGUCGAGCGAACAGACGAGGAGCUUGCUCCUUUGACGUUAGCGGCGGACGGGUGAGUAACACGUGGGUAACCCACCUAUAAGACUGGGAUAACUUCGGGAAACCGGAGCUAAUACCGGAUAAUAUUUCGAACCGCAUGGUUCGAUAGUGAAAGAUGGCUUUGCUAUCACUUAUAGAUGGACCUGCGCCGUAUUAGCUAGUUGGUAAGGUAACGGCUUACCAAGGCAACGAUACGUAGCCGACCUGAGAGGGUGAUCGGCCACACUGGAACUGAGACACGGUCCAGACUCCUACGGGAGGCAGCAGUAGGGAAUCUUCCGCAAUGGGCGAAAGCCUGACGGAGCAACGCCGCGUGAGUGAUGAAGGUCUUCGGAUCGUAAAACUCUGUUAUUAGGGAAGAACAAACGUGUAAGUAACUGUGCACGUCUUGACGGUACCUAAUCAGAAAGCCACGGCUAACUACGUG
Molecule: ribosomal RNA, 497 nt
Filed under: uncultured bacterium
Lineage: Bacteria
Description: partial 16S ribosomal RNA
Rfam family: Bacterial small subunit ribosomal RNA
Source: RNAcentral